Long non-coding RNA from Esox lucius (northern pike), 1198 nucleotides. Lineage: Eukaryota; Metazoa; Chordata; Actinopteri; Esociformes; Esocidae. The record is from Ensembl.
CCGGUAAAUUAGGAUUCUAUUGUAUUUACUAUACAAGGUAAAACCUGUGGUAUUAUUUUGUUGUUAAUAUAAUUGUUAAUGUAUUUACACAGCAGUUACUUAGUAAUAAGUGUCAACUUAAGGGAGUUAAGUGAAAGUGUUACAGAGUUAGUUUUUCUUAAGAGUGCCCAGUUGUCUUUAAAGCACUGUUAUGAGGUCUGGAAUGUCCAAAUCCCCUGUUCUAAACGUGGCAUUUGCCCUCCAUUCCAUGUUGUUUUAAAUGUGGCAUUAGCCCUCCAUUCCAGGCAUCUCCCUGGUGAGUCUGUCUUCCCCUCAGACAGACUGUUUCUUAAUGUUAUGGAUGCUUUGCUUCAAUGAGAAAUUAAUGUCAACAUUUAUAAUUGGUUUGUAAUGAAAAAUAAUGUAAACAUUUGCAAUUGGUUGUUACGGGAUUUGUCCACAGAAGUAAUCAAUCCCUGCUCCAUCUAAGGUUACCAGAUGGGAGAAGCUAAAAUGUAGCAUUUUAUCAUGUGCAAUGAUUUGGUUGGAUUAUUUGGAACUGAUUAGCUAUCCUUAAACUGUUUCUAUGGUAUGGCUCGGUCAUCUGUCUGUACAUCUCUAUGGCAACUGGUGCUUGGGGAAGGGGACCCACUUCCUGAUUACUUGCUGGUUAGCAUGGCUGUGAUUCUUUGGCUUGGCUCUUUGUCUGCUUCUUUUAAAACUAUUGUUAGAGCCAGGCUGAAUCUGCAGGGGAGGUACGUUUAGCUCAAGCCAACAGAAAUUGGAAUAUUUAUAUAUUUAGGAUACAUCUGGGAAGGUAUUGAAUGUCCCUGCUGAUACCGCCUGGUUGUAUUUAUCGUUGACAAGUCUUCAUGGACAAGUCAUUGUCAAGCGAGUGGGAAGAUGUUUCAAACAAUGCAGCGGUGGGCAGACAUUUUACCAUUUGACCCUUCAAUAGUAGAACUCAUUCAUGAGUCGUCCUCUAUGUUUCACGUCUAGAAAGUGUAAGAAAGGCACCCACAUGUAUUACAACCACACUACUGAAGUCUCACUAAAUCUAAUAGAUCUCAGCUAACAAAGUACAAUUAGCUAAUGGAGGUCACAUCAUAUUUCAGAUUUUAAUUUAUAUUUUAAUUUGUUACAUUUUGUUGAUAAUAUUAAUUAAUAUAUUAGUAAUUCACUUAUUGUUGAAAAUCCAUCAAUUGAAUAUUUAACUGCC